RNAcentral lists this ribosomal RNA (840 nucleotides) under Salinicoccus roseus. Its description in RNAcentral is "bacterial SSU rRNA". It matches the Rfam family "Bacterial small subunit ribosomal RNA", at positions 47 to 869 of the family's 1533-position model. The record is from RNAcentral. Lineage: Bacteria; Bacillati; Bacillota; Bacilli; Caryophanales; Staphylococcaceae.
CCUAUCAUGCAAGUCGAACGCGCGGAUCAGGAGCUUGCUCCUGUGACGCGAGUGGCGGACGGGUGAGUAACACGUAGGCAACCUGCCCAUCAGACUGGGAUAACCACGGGAAACCGUGGCUAAUACCGGAUAACCCUUUUCCACACAGGUGGAAAAGUUGAAAGGCGGCUUCGGCUGUCACUGAUGGAUGGGCCUGCGGCGCAUUAUCUGGUUGGUGGGGUAACGGCCCACCAAGGCGACGAUGCGUAGCCGACCUGAGAGGGUGAUCGGCCACACUGGGACUGAGACACGGCCCAGACUCCUACGGGAGGCAGCAGUAGGGAAUCUUCCGCAAUGGACGAAAGUCUGACGGAGCAACGCCGCGUGAGUGAAGAAGGGUUUCGGCUCGUAAAACUCUGUUGUCAGGGAAGAACGCCGACGGGAGUAACUGCCCGUCGGGUGACGGUACCUGACCAGAAAGCCACGGCUAACUACGUGCCAGCAGCCGCGGUAAUACGUANGUGGCAAGCGUUAUCCGGAAUUAUUGGGCGUAAAGCGCGCGUAGGCGGUUCGUUAAGUCUGAUGUGAAAGCCCCCGGCUCAACCGGGGAGGGUCAUUGGAAACUGGCGGACUUGAGUGCACAAGAGGAGAGUGGAAUUCCAUGUGUAGCGGUGAAAUGCGCAGAGAUAUGUAGGAACACCAGUGGCGAAGGCGGCUCUCUGGUCUGCAACUGACGCUGAGGUGCGAAAGCGUGUGGAUCAAACAGGAUUAGAUACCCUGGUAGUCCACGCCGUAAACGAUGAGUGCUAAGUGUUAGGGGGUUUCCGCCCCUUAGUGCUGCAGCUAACGCAUUAAGCACUC